This 468-nucleotide ribosomal RNA is filed under the name uncultured bacterium. Its description in RNAcentral is "partial 16S ribosomal RNA". It matches the Rfam family "Bacterial small subunit ribosomal RNA", at positions 28 to 507 of the family's 1533-position model. The record is from RNAcentral.
GACGAACGCUGGCGGCGUGCUUAACACAUGCAAGUCGAACGGAAAGGCCCUGCUUUUGUGGGGUGCUCGAGUGUCGAACGGGUGAGUAACACGUGAGUAACCUGCCCUUUACUUUGGGAUAACUUCAGGAAACUGGGGCUAAUACCGGAUAGGAGCUCCUGCUGCAUGGUGGGGGUUGGAAAGUUUCGGCGGUUGGGGAUGGACUCGCGGCUUAUCAGCUUGUUGGUGGGGUAGUGGCUUACCAAGGCUUUGACGGGUAGCCGGCCUGAGAGGGUGACCGGCCACAUUGGGACAGAGAUACGGCCCAGACUCAUACGGGAGGCAGCAGUGGGGAAUAUUGCACGAUGGGCGGAAGCCUGAUGCAGCAACGCCGCGUGCGGGAUGACGGCCUUCGGGUUGUAAACCGCUUUAGCCUGUGACGAAGAGUGAGUGACGGUAAUGGGUAAAGAAGCACCGGCUAACUACGUG